RNAcentral lists this transfer RNA (77 nucleotides) under Muricoccus roseus. RNAcentral describes it as "Roseomonas rosea tRNA_Met_CAT". It matches the Rfam family "tRNA". From Rfam's summary of the family: Transfer RNA (tRNA) molecules are approximately 80 nucleotides in length. Their secondary structure includes four short double-helical elements and three loops (D, anti-codon, and T loops). Further hydrogen bonds mediate the characteristic L-shaped molecular structure. tRNAs have two regions of fundamental functional importance: the anti-codon, which is responsible for specific mRNA codon recognition, and the 3' end, to which the tRNAs corresponding amino acid is attached (by aminoacyl-tRNA synthetases). tRNAs cope with the degeneracy of the genetic code in two manners: having more than one tRNA (with a specific anti-codon) for a particular amino acid; and 'wobble' base-pairing, i.e. permitting non-standard base-pairing at the 3rd anti-codon position. RNAcentral also lists the same sequence under 7 other names. Lineage: Bacteria; Pseudomonadati; Pseudomonadota; Alphaproteobacteria; Acetobacterales; Roseomonadaceae. The record is from RNAcentral.
GGCGGGGUAGCUCAGCUGGUUAGAGCACGGCACUCAUAAUGCCGGGGUCACCGGUUCAAGUCCGGUUCCCGCUACCA